Long non-coding RNA from Metopolophium dirhodum (rose-grain aphid), 1200 nucleotides. RefSeq lists it as uncharacterized. The transcript has 6 exons. NCBI's taxonomy places the organism in Eukaryota, Metazoa, Arthropoda, Insecta, Hemiptera, Aphididae. The record is from RefSeq and is a predicted model, not a curated record.
UGAAUGUCCAGUUUACCCAUAUAUAAGCAAUUUCAAUGGAUCGGUGCGAUAUUAAUAUUAUAUACAUAAAUAAUAGUAUAAUACAUUAUCCUACGAUGGUUUCGUUCGCCAACUAGACACGCACUACAUUAUUGUACGAGUGUGUAAGUGUGAGUUGUGCUAUACCGUCAUGGCACGGCGAAGAGAAGAGUCGGGGCGGUAACGAAUAAUAUUAUCAUGUUAUAUACGGUGCGAUCGCGGUGUAUUGUUGAAUCGCGCGCAGUGCGUUCGACGCGAAUCACGUCCUGCUGGUCGCUCGGGACUUUCGUCGAGUACCUCAACUCGACGUUGCUGUAUGUCCGGUCCAAUAAUAACAAUGGCGUAUAAGACGUAGCUCCCAAACCGGUCGACAUCCAUCUGCAGAACAACUCAUUCCGCAAGAAUGAGCGGUAUAGUUUGAAAACUUACCAAAGUUAUCUGGUGGAUGUCGAUAUGUUGGUGAGCAGCCGUCGCACAUAGGUCUGAUGUACCUAUGGAAAGUUAUUAUUGGAUCGAUCAUAAUAUUUCGUUGAGAAGUUAUCUGUCCAUAAACUUAUUUUCAGAUUUGUAAGCCAAUUCCGUUGCCAUUUUUUAAUCAUUCUUUGUUUUUAUUAAGGUUGAGGUGUAUCAGCAUUUUAGGGGCUAUUGUAAUUCCCACUUCCAGGACUUUAUCAUACAUACAGCCGACAGCCCGAUGACCUACAUUUUUGUGUAUUCUGGUCCACCCUAUGAUGGCCGCGAAGUAACGAUCACGUCACCGUUUAUCAGAUUGCCCAGUUUGAAAGAGUCUCCAACAAUUUCAUCGGAUAGGUACGCCAUAAACCGUGGCAUAGCGCUGGGCCAGCAUCAUUUUGUCCGGAUCAAUAUCUACAAAAAUGACGUCCCAAUUAUUAGAAGCUAAUAAUAUAGUGUCUUUGUCGAACAGUCAGCUGUACGAAGUUUCCGCUGUGCCACAAAACGGGUCGACGCCGGUCGCUGAACAUGGGAAGUCCUCAAGUCCACCCAGCAUCGUAUUGAUGAAUCAACAAUACAUCUUACAUCUUACAUUUAACAUCUUACAUCUUACAUCUAUCAUUGCAAUCUUAUAAUUCUUCACCUGAAUGCAUGUAAUCCUGAAUGUACAGUUAAUUUAUUACUACCCAUCUACAAAGUCAACACUGUAUUAAUAAAAGUAUUUACUGU